RNAcentral lists this ribosomal RNA (256 nucleotides) under uncultured bacterium. RNAcentral describes it as "partial 16S ribosomal RNA". It matches the Rfam family "Bacterial small subunit ribosomal RNA", at positions 521 to 776 of the family's 1533-position model. The record is from RNAcentral.
UAAUACGUAGGGUGCAAGCGUUGUCCGGAUUUAUUGGGUUUAAAGGGUGCGUAGGCGGUCUAUUAAGUCAGUGGUGAAAUCCAACAGCUCAACUGUUGAUGUGCCAAUGAUACUGAUGGACUUGAGUACAGACGAGGUAGGCGGAAUUGACAGUGUAGCGGUGAAAUGCAUAGAUAUUGUCAAGAACACCGAUAGCGAAGGCAGCUUGCUAGCCUGUAACUGACGCUGAGGCACGAAAGUAUGGGGAUCAAACAGG